GCAGCUUUCCAUCAUCCUUCACCAGUGGGAAUAUCUGGUAGCAAGUAUCAAAGCUUCCUUGUCGUUCCAAGUUUCUUCCAUUUAAUGUGCCACAUUUUCUCGGGUAAUGGAAGCGGGUAGAGGUAACUCAGUCAGCAAUCAGAUUGAUGUCGAAGGAACAAUUCAAAUGGCAUAAUUUGAAAGGAUGGAGAAGAGAAACCCACAAACGUUGCAAACAUGAAAGGUAAACAGAAGCUUGCAGCAGCCACACAUCGGAAAGAGAAACAACGAGUCUACACUUCAUCCAGAAGCUAGCCAAUGGAAAUCUGAACUCCAAUACUGCUGGCAGUUUUUUCCCCGAUGUUAAUCAUCUUUGUGAUGCUCGAAAAAUGUUAACCUCAUCCUUAGCAUCAUUUCUGGUCUGUAGUAUGCAGAUGAAUUAAACAACUCCAGUGACCCA
Amblyraja radiata (thorny skate) is the source of this 439-nucleotide long non-coding RNA. RefSeq lists it as uncharacterized. Lineage: Eukaryota; Metazoa; Chordata; Chondrichthyes; Rajiformes; Rajidae. The transcript is spliced from 2 exons. The record is from RefSeq and is a predicted model, not a curated record.